GAUGAACGCUAGCGGCAGGCUUAACACAUGCAAGUCGAGGGGUAACAUGAUAGCUUGCUAUUGAUGACGACCGGCGCACGGGUGCGUAACGCGUAUACAAUCUGCCUUGUACUGAGGGAUAGCCCAGAGAAAUUUGGAUUAAUACCUCAUAAUAUUAUUGAGUGGCAUCGUUUGAUAAUUAAAGGUUACGGUACAAGAUGAGUAUGCGUCCUAUUAGUUAGUUGGUAAGGUAACGGCUUACCAAGGCUACGAUAGGUAGGGGUCCUGAGAGGGAGAUCCCCCACACUGGUACUGAGACACGGACCAGACUCCUACGGGAGGCAGCAGUGAGGAAUAUUGGACAAUGGGCGCAAGCCUGAUCCAGCCAUGCCGCGUGCAGGAAGACUGCCCUAUGGGUUGUAAACUGCUUUUAUAUAGGAAGAAUAUGCUCUACGUGUAGGGUAUUGACGGUACUAUACGAAUAAGCACCGGCUAACUCCG
This 480-nucleotide ribosomal RNA is filed under the name uncultured Flavobacteriaceae bacterium. RNAcentral describes it as "bacterial SSU rRNA". It matches the Rfam family "Bacterial small subunit ribosomal RNA", at positions 28 to 505 of the family's 1533-position model. Lineage: Bacteria; Pseudomonadati; Bacteroidota; Flavobacteriia; Flavobacteriales; Flavobacteriaceae. The record is from RNAcentral.